AGUGAACGCUGGCGGUAGGCCUAACACAUGCAAGUCGAACGGCAGCACAGUAAGAGCUUGCUCUUACGGGUGGCGAGUGGCGGACGGGUGAGGAAUACAUCGGAAUCUACUUUUUCGUGGGGGAUAACGUAGGGAAACUUACGCUAAUACCGCAUACGCCCUACGGGUGAAAGCAGGGGAUCUUCGGACCUUGCGCGAUUGAAUGAGCCGAUGUCGGAUUAGCUAGUUGGCGGGGUAAAGGCCCACCAAGGCGACGAUCCGUAGCUGGUCUGAGAGGAUGAUCAGCCACACUGGAACUGAAACACGGUCCAGACUCCUACGGGAGGCAGCAGUGGGGAAUAUUGGACAAUGGGCGCAAGCCUGAUCCAGCCAUACCGCGUGGGUGAAGAAGGCCUUCGGGUUGUAAAGCCCUUUUGUUGGGAAAGAAAAGCAGCAGGUUAAUACCCCGCUGUUCUGACGGUACCCAAAGAAUAAGCACCGGCUAACUUCGUG
Molecule: ribosomal RNA, 492 nt
Filed under: uncultured bacterium
Lineage: Bacteria
Description: partial 16S ribosomal RNA
Rfam family: Bacterial small subunit ribosomal RNA
Source: RNAcentral